UCAUUAAAUCCAUAGGUACAGUGAAACCGCCUAUAAAAUAGAUAGGUUUUUUGUUAUUACAUUAGAUAGGUACCUAUACUUGAUAUAAUAUUUAAUUACAUGUACACAUUAUAAUUUAUAAGUGAACGAACAAUAGGGUUUAAAUAGCAAUUCAAAAAAUCAAUAGUCAUUGUUGUUAUCAUUCGCAAAGUAAAAUAAAAUGUGGCUUUAUUAUUGUGACACUUGAAAAUAGUUUUUACGUACUUGCGUCAUUAUGUUUGCAAUCACUUACCCGUGUGAAUACUGCAGACCAAACAAUGCAAAAAAAUGAAAAAAAUUGCACGAACCAAUAUCCGAUAACACGUAGAGCUUGUUUUAUGUCUAGGCACUUGUAUAGGGCUAACAUUGCGAACACGAAACUUGCUCUUGGAUGGUCGUUCGUCAGCCGAUGAAAUCCGUACAUCGGGUAGCAUGAAAAAAACAAUGAAACCAGGAUGCUGCACUGUGUCCGGCGACAAGGAUAUGCAAUCAAUAAACACCACAAGAGCUAGUAACGGAGGACACGACCAUAACAUAAUUUUGUAUAAAUGUAUAUUAUAAUUUACGUGAUGGAAUACGUUGACGGGCAAAUUCAUACACACUGAUAAUAAAUUAGGCAUAUAAAACGUUACGGAAAACACCAUGUAUUGUGUAUAACUCCAGCCUUAUGAAAAGACUUAAAUUAUAAUGCAUAUAUAACUUGGCAAUUAAUUACCAUAGAAAAUCCAUCAAACAUUUUUUUUAUAUAUACGUUGAUAAGUUCAAUAAUAUUUUAAUUAUAUUUUUAAAACCCAAAUAAAUGUGUCUUUAAUCUGUAUAAUACCUUUAUUAUAGAUGAAACUAAUUAAUACACAUAUUAACUAACCUUGGAGUAAGGCAAGACCCACCAUAAGCAAACAUUAUAAUACUCUCCAUAAUAUUAUCGCAAACCAACAAAUAUUUUAUAAAUUAUUAUACUUUAAAAUUAUUUAAUUGUAAUAUGAUAGACUUAUGCAUGAAAUACAAAUAAUAGGUAAAGUUAUUUGUUUUAAUUAAAUCGAUAAUAAACUGUAGUCUUAAAUAAAUUAAUUAAGUUAGUAAUUUUAUUAUUUUUAUUAUAUUCUAUUUUCUAUAUGCAUAAAAUAUGUAUUUUUAUUUUUGUUUAAAAUUAGUCCCAAUUUCUAAUUAUAACAAGAUAUGUCAACAGGACUAAGCUAACACCACAGGAUAUUACAUUAUUUAUUACAUUAUAUUAUAUUACAUUAUAAUAAACAUCUUUUAUUAAUCUUCAUCUAUUUAACUUCAAGAAUAACAAUAUUAGUUGUAAUAAUAGUUGAGAUAUACUUCCCUCCCCAUAAGCCAAAAAUAAACAUAUAGGUAGCUCAUACGAAUAUAUAUGAUUUAUGAUUUAUCUAUAAAUCCAUUAUCUUAUUAAACACUUCCAGAAAAAUAACUAAAAGUUCAUUCAUAAAACAUAAUAUUUAACAGUUCAGUGCAACAAUUUAAAUAUAGUUAUUAGAUAAGCCAAGUUGAAAUGUUGCAAACAAAAUACAAAAUACAAAGAUAAUACAUUAUACACUUAUA
Long non-coding RNA from Aphis gossypii (cotton aphid), 1581 nucleotides. RefSeq lists it as uncharacterized. Lineage: Eukaryota; Metazoa; Arthropoda; Insecta; Hemiptera; Aphididae. The record is from RefSeq and is a predicted model, not a curated record. The transcript is spliced from 4 exons.